This 454-nucleotide ribosomal RNA is filed under the name uncultured bacterium. Its description in RNAcentral is "partial 16S ribosomal RNA". It matches the Rfam family "Bacterial small subunit ribosomal RNA", at positions 28 to 507 of the family's 1533-position model. The record is from RNAcentral.
GAUGAACGCUGACAGAAUGCUUAACACACGCAAGUCAACUUGAACUUCGGUUUGGGUGGCGGACGGGUGAGUAACGCGUAAAGAACUUGCCUCACAGUUAGGGACAACAUUUGGAAACGAAUGCUAAUACCUGAUAUUAUGAUUUUAGGGCAUCCUAGAAUUAUGAAAGCUAUAUGCGCUGUGAGAGAGCUUUGCGUCCCAUUAGCUAGUUGGAGAGGUAACGGCUCACCAAGGCGAUGAUGGGUAGCCGGCCUGAGAGGGUGAACGGCCACAAGGGGACUGAGACACGGCCCUUACGCCUACGGGAGGCAGCAGUGGGGAAUAUUGGACAAUGGACCAAGAGUCUGAUCCAGCAAUUCUGUGUGCACGAUGAAGUUUUUCGGAAUGUAAAGUGCUUUCAGUUGGGAAGAAAAAAAUGACGAUACCAACAGAAGAAGUGACGGCUAAAUACGUG